GAUGAAGAACGCAGCGAAAUGCGAUACGUAAUGUGAAUUGCAGAAUUCAGUGAAUCAUCGAAUCUUUGAACGCAUAUUGCGCUCUCUGGUAUUCCGGAGAGCAUGCUUGUUUGAGUAUCAGUAAACACCUCAACUUCCAUAUCUUUUUUGAAAUGGGAGUUGGACUUGAGUGAUCCCAACGCUUUUCCUCACCGAAAAGUGGCGGGUUACUUGAAAUGCAGGUGCAGCUGGACUUUUCUCUGAGCUAUAAGCAUAUCUAUUUAGUCUGCCUAAAAAACAGAUUAUUACCUUUGCUGCAGCUAACAUAAAGGAGAUUAGUUCUUGUGCUGACUGAUGCAGGAUUCACAAAGACAGGCUUCGGCCGACUUUGUAAACUCGAUCUCGAAUCAAGUAAGACUACCCGCUGAACUUAAGCAUAUCAAUAAGCGGAGGA
Molecule: unclassified non-coding RNA, 433 nt
Filed under: soil metagenome
Description: partial contains 5.8S ribosomal RNA, internal transcribed spacer 2, and large subunit ribosomal RNA
Rfam family: 5.8S ribosomal RNA (bases 1-120)
Source: RNAcentral